UGGGGAAUUUUGGACAAUGGGCGCAAGCCUGAUCCAGCCAUGCCGCGUGCAGGAUGAAGGCCUUCGGGUUGUAAACUGCUUUUGUACGGAACGAAAAGACUCCUUCUAAUAAAGGGGGUCCAUGACGGUACCGUAAGAAUAAGCACCGGCUAACUACGUGCCAGCAGCCGCGGUAAUACGUAGGGUGCGAGCGUUAAUCGGAAUUACUGGGCGUAAAGCGUGCGCAGGCGGUUAUAUAAGACAGAGGUGAAAUCCCCGGGCUCAACCUGGGAACUGCAUUUGUGACUGUAUAGCUAGGGUACGGCAGAGGAGGAUGGAAUUCCGCGUGUAGCAGUGAAAUGCGUAGAUAUGCGGAGGAACACCGAUGGCGAAGGCAAUCCCCUGGGCCUGUACUGACGCUCAUGCACGAAAGCGUGGGGAGCAAACA
Molecule: ribosomal RNA, 427 nt
Filed under: uncultured bacterium
Lineage: Bacteria
Description: bacterial SSU rRNA
Rfam family: Bacterial small subunit ribosomal RNA
Source: RNAcentral